Small nucleolar RNA from Loxodonta africana (African savanna elephant), 125 nucleotides. It matches the Rfam family "Small nucleolar RNA SNORA71". Rfam says of the family: The members of this family belong to the H/ACA class of snoRNAs which bind a number of proteins (including dyskerin, Gar1p and Nop10p) to form snoRNP complexes. The record is from Rfam. NCBI's taxonomy places the organism in Eukaryota, Metazoa, Chordata, Mammalia, Proboscidea, Elephantidae.
UCCUACAUUUGAAAGUGACUGUGGACUACCCAUGUCCUGGUCAUUCAUGGUGCACAGAGAGGAAUUGCCGAAACCGUUUCCCUGUGUUUGGAGGGUCCAUUCCUGUCCCUUCCAGACCUCCCACA